CUGUCCAUCUCUUCCUCCCAUCUCAUAUGUUGAUUAUUUGUCAUUUUUUAAGUUUCACUUAAACUAGUCUAACCCAUCUCACCUCCUCUAAUAUUUUGGACUAAGUUCCACCCAUUAAAUUUCUGGUGUUAUUAAACAAAUUUACACAACUGCUUCUUUGUUUUAUCCCUUCUUCAGAUCUACAGCAGACCAUCUUUCCUGUCUCACUUUCUUCAUUUUUAAUUUCAAAUCUAAGAUUUACGCAUUGACCCAGUCUGGUUCAGAAAACCGACCAAGUCACCGAUUCUGACCGGUUUAGACCGAGUCAUACCGGUUCACACCGGUUUGAGUGCAUGUCCGAUCCAUCAUGCAACUCGAACCGGAUAUGCCACCGGUUCGACCGGCCAGUCCGGUCCGGGUUUUAAAACUAUGACGAGAAUGGUUGUCGCAAUAUAGCACUACUCUUUCAACUAUGAUUGUUAAUUAAUACUUACGUGAUUCAUGAAUAUUGUCACACCCGCUCAUCAUAUUCAACCUUCAAAUAUGAUAGUCGAAAUCAAACAAAAUAUAUUGUGAUUUUAACCACAAGAAAGUUUGAAUGUUGAUCUUCUCUGAUAAGGCGACAAGACGAGUGUAACGCCCCGAUAUUUUAUACAUAUAAUUUUAAAUAAAUAUUUCUCAACAAUUUAUUUUAUGUGUGAAAAUUUUAAGAAAAUCUUAACAUUACUCUACUUUUGUUAAAUGAACUAGAAUGUUAUUCCAUCUAUUGCAUUUUUAUUUGUAAUUUAUUCUAAAGCUCCUUUUUGUCUUAUAUUUAUUAGUUUUUUAUUUUAUUUUGACAUGGUCAUAUUAGUUAAAGCUGCACGUUUUUUAGCCUAAUUGCUCGGUCAAAUAUGUAACCUGCACCUAUAUGUUGGUCACGUCUCAGUCCCCUCCUCUGAUCCUCUCCUAAUUUAACAUUCCCUGCCUUUUGUAGAAAAUAAUAGAAGAACAAAAGAAAGAAAACAUUUUCGUUUUUAUCAAACUUGCCACCAUAGAAUUACGACUGCACCUUCAUUCAUCGUUCGAUCACGCUAUUUUUUGGAAAGCAUGAUCACAACAGAUGAUUCUUCAUUUUCAAUGGUCCAAUCAUCAAAAUGAUGUCUGAAGCAAGAGAAAUCGUGUCUGCAUCAUAGCUAUGAGUUGAGGCUUAGAGUUGUGGCGACUUAGGAAUGAAAGCACACAAGGUACGAAGGAAUGAAAUAUGAAGUUGUUUUGUGAUGGAAGCGUACUCGGAGACAAAAAUUGGAUUUUAUCAUAUUAUAAUUUUUAAAAUAUUUUUGAACUCUAUUAUUGUCUCUGUUGAGAAAGAAUCAAUUUUAAAGAGUAAUUUUUUAUUAAUUCAUUUUUA
This is a long non-coding RNA of Medicago truncatula (barrel medic), 1369 nucleotides long. RefSeq lists it as uncharacterized. The transcript has 2 exons. Lineage: Eukaryota; Viridiplantae; Streptophyta; Magnoliopsida; Fabales; Fabaceae. The record is from RefSeq and is a predicted model, not a curated record.